RNAcentral lists this ribosomal RNA (706 nucleotides) under uncultured bacterium. RNAcentral's name for it is "bacterial SSU rRNA". It matches the Rfam family "Bacterial small subunit ribosomal RNA", at positions 67 to 773 of the family's 1533-position model. The record is from RNAcentral.
CGAAGCCCUGAGAAUGAUUCUUCGGAUGAAGUCUCUUGUGACUGAGUGGCGGACGGGUGAGUAACGCGUGGGUAACCUGCCUCACACAGGGGGAUAACAGUUGGAAACGACCGCUAAUACCGCAUAACCCGCUGGUGCCGCAUGGCACUGACGGAAAAGAUUUUAUCGGUGUGAGAUGGACCCGCGUCUGAUUAGCCAGUUGGCAGGGUAACGGCCUACCAAAGCGACGAUCAGUAGCCGGCCUGAGAGGGUGAACGGCCACAUUGGGACUGAGGCACGGCCCAGACUCCUGCGGGAGGCAGCAGUGGGGAAUAUUGCACAAUGGGGGAAACCCUGAUGCAGCGACGCCGCGUGAGUGAAGAAGUAUUUCGGUAUGUAAAGCUCUAUCAGCAGGGAAGAAAAUGACGGUACCUGAUUAAGAAGCCCCGGCUAACUACGUGCCAGCAGCCGCGGUAAUACGUAGGGGGCAAGCGUUAUCCGGAUUUACUGGGUGUAAAGGGAGCGUAGACGGUGAUGCAAGUCAGAAGUGAAAGCCCGGGGCUCAACUCCGGGACUGCUUUUGAAACUGUGUGACUGGAGUGCAGGAGAGGUAAGCGGAAUUCCUGGUGUAGCGGUGAAAUGCGUAGAUAUCAGGAGGAACACCAGUGGCGAAGGCGGCUUACUGGACUGUAACUGACGUUGAGGCUCGAAAGCGUGGGGAGCAAAC